CGGAGGAUCCAAGCGUUAUCCGGAAUCAUUGGGUUUAAAGGGUCCGUAGGCGGUCUUAUAAGUCAGUGGUGAAAUCUCCCCGCUCAACGGGGAAACGGCCAUUGAUACUGUAGGACUUGAAUUAUUAGGAAGUAACUAGAAUAUGUAGUGUAGCGGUGAAAUGCUUAGAGAUUACAUGGAAUACCAAUUGCGAAGGCAGGUUACUACUAAUGGAUUGACGCUGAUGGACGAAAGCGUGGGUAGCGAACAGGAUUAGAUACCCUGGUAGUCCACGCCGUAAACGAUGGAUACUAGCUGUUGGAAGCAAUUUCAGUGGCUAAGCGAAAGUGAUAAGUAUCCCACUGGGGAGUACGUUCGCAAGAAUG
Molecule: ribosomal RNA, 365 nt
Filed under: uncultured organism
Description: bacterial SSU rRNA
Rfam family: Bacterial small subunit ribosomal RNA
Source: RNAcentral